This 73-nucleotide transfer RNA is filed under the name Ornithorhynchus anatinus (platypus). It matches the Rfam family "tRNA". From Rfam's summary of the family: Transfer RNA (tRNA) molecules are approximately 80 nucleotides in length. Their secondary structure includes four short double-helical elements and three loops (D, anti-codon, and T loops). Further hydrogen bonds mediate the characteristic L-shaped molecular structure. tRNAs have two regions of fundamental functional importance: the anti-codon, which is responsible for specific mRNA codon recognition, and the 3' end, to which the tRNAs corresponding amino acid is attached (by aminoacyl-tRNA synthetases). tRNAs cope with the degeneracy of the genetic code in two manners: having more than one tRNA (with a specific anti-codon) for a particular amino acid; and 'wobble' base-pairing, i.e. permitting non-standard base-pairing at the 3rd anti-codon position. Lineage: Eukaryota; Metazoa; Chordata; Mammalia; Monotremata; Ornithorhynchidae. The record is from Rfam by way of RNAcentral.
AGCAGCAUGGCCUAGUAGAAAGAGCACAGGCCUUGGGAGUCAGAGAAACUGGGUUCUAAUCCCAGCUCUGCCA